Xiphophorus hellerii (green swordtail) is the source of this 997-nucleotide long non-coding RNA. RefSeq lists it as uncharacterized. Lineage: Eukaryota; Metazoa; Chordata; Actinopteri; Cyprinodontiformes; Poeciliidae. The transcript has 2 exons. The record is from RefSeq and is a predicted model, not a curated record.
GGGGAAAGUAAAAAAAAAGGUUACAGAGCUUUGCGCUGGUGAGUAAGAAGAAAAUGAGGUAAUCGAAAAGAAAUGUUAACAACACUAUUAUCAAUGUUACCAAUUGCUUUUAAAUCAUAACUGAACUUGAUUUUUUUUUAAUCCUGUUUCAAAACUGCAUUGCACUCAUCAGACAUUACAGCCAUACUUAACACUUAAGCUGAGAAAAAAGCAUUUAGAUUAUGCUUUUCCUUCAAUUUGACUUGAAUUACAAAUAACUGUGUUCCUACAUCUGAUAAAUAGAAAAUGCUAUAAUUUAACAACCCAAUUUAUAGACUAUUUUUGAAUAGCAGGUCCAAGUAAAUGGAAAACCCAAACAACAAACAACCAAGGCCACUUAAAUUAAACAUCUGCAACUUUUACCUCGCAGUGUUAGCAGCUCUUCUAUUUAAAUUAGUAUGAGAUUAAGCAUUGUGUGGUUUAGCAAAGUAUCUGCAGGUUCUACAGAAUUACUAUUGAACGUACUAUUGAUUACAGAAAAUCUGUGUAAAUCUAAUGGCUCUGCGGGAUUUUAGGACAGGCAUGUAGUUGCAAAGAAAGACGUAUAAUAUAAAUAUAAUCUUGAAUGCAAGAUGGUGUGUGACUUCUGUGCACAAACCACGCAAUGACCACUAUCUAUGCAUGAUCCUGAAAACUAAAGUUUUAUUUCUUUCACAGGUCUGGUUACAUUUAUGCAAUGCAAAAAUAUUUGGUCCACUUUGAAUUUCCAGGUGAAUCUCAAUUUACUUUACGUGUUUUUUUAAGUAAAUUUCUUAAAAUACAUGGAGCAGUCCGUGUCCCUUCACCAUUUUUGUGCCAUUUCUUCCCUUCAAAGCGGAUUUUUAACGUAAUUUCUUUAAUGUCCUUGUUUUCAAACUUCAUCAGAAUGUCAAUUACAUUUUUACAUAUAUAUAAUGGAGUAAAAUGUUUCUUAAGGAGAUUUUAAUCAUUAAAGAUGGUGUUUAAGGUGGUGAUGUAA